This 67-nucleotide transfer RNA is filed under the name Patelloida saccharinoides. RNAcentral's name for it is "tRNA-Met". The record is from RNAcentral. Lineage: Eukaryota; Metazoa; Mollusca; Gastropoda; Lottiidae.
GCCGAAAUAGGUUAAUUUAAACUGGGAGGCUCAUAACCUUUUUAUGCCGUGAUACAGGCUUUCGGUU